This 253-nucleotide ribosomal RNA is filed under the name uncultured bacterium. RNAcentral's name for it is "partial 16S ribosomal RNA". It matches the Rfam family "Bacterial small subunit ribosomal RNA", at positions 524 to 776 of the family's 1533-position model. The record is from RNAcentral.
UACGUAGGGUGCAAGCGUUAUCCGGAAUGAUUGGGCGUAAAGCGUCUGUAGGUGGCUUUUUAAGUCCGCCGUCAAAUCCCAGGGCUCAACCCUGGACAGGCGGUGGAAACUACCAAGCUGGAGUACGGUAGGGGCAGAGGGAAUUUCCAGUGGAGCGGUGAAAUGCGUAGAUAUUGGAAAGACCACCAAUGGCGAAGGCACUCUACUGGGCCAUUACUGACACUGAGAGACGAAAGCUAGGGGAGCGAAUGGG